GACGAACGCUGGCGGCGUGCUUAACACAUGCAAGUCGAACGGAAAGGCCCUGCUUUUGUGGGGUGCUCGAGUGGCAAACGGGUAAGUAACACGUGAUUAACCUGCCCUUGACUUUGGGAUAACUUCAGGAAACUGGGGCUAAUACCGGAUAGGAGCUCCUGCUGCAUGGUGGGGUUGGGAAAGUUUCGGCGGUUGGGGAUGGACUCGCGGCUUAUCAGCUUGUUGGUGGGGUAGUGGCUUACCAAGGCUUUGACGGGUAGCCGGCCUGAGAGGGUGACCGGCCACAUUGGGACUGAGAUACGGCCCAGACUCCUACGGGAGGCAGCAGUGGGGAAUAUUGCACAAUGGGCGGAAGCCUGAUGCAGCAACGCCGCGUGCGGGAUGACGGCCUUCGGGUUGUAAACCGCUUUCGCCUGUGACGAAGCGUGAGUGACGGUAAUGGGUAAAGAAGCACCGGCUAACUACGUG
Molecule: ribosomal RNA, 468 nt
Filed under: uncultured bacterium
Lineage: Bacteria
Description: partial 16S ribosomal RNA
Rfam family: Bacterial small subunit ribosomal RNA
Source: RNAcentral